UACGUAGGGUGCGAGCGUUACUCGGAAUUACUGGGCGUAAAGCGCAUGUAGGUGGCUUGUUAAGUCCGAUGUGAAAUCCCUGAACUCAAUUCAGGAACUGCAUUGGAUACUGGCAGGCUUGAGUAUAGGAGAGGUAAGCGGAAUUCCAGGUGUAGAGGUGAAAUUCGUAGAUAUCUGGAGGAACAACAGAGGCGAAAGCGGCUUACUGGACUAUUACUGACACUGAGAUGCGAAAGCGUGGGGAGCAAACAGG
Molecule: ribosomal RNA, 253 nt
Filed under: uncultured bacterium
Lineage: Bacteria
Description: partial 16S ribosomal RNA
Rfam family: Bacterial small subunit ribosomal RNA
Source: RNAcentral